CGCGUAGGCGGGCUGGAAAGUCAGGGGUGAAAGCCCACGGCUCAACCGUGGAAGCGCCUUUGAUACUGCCAGUCUCGAGGGAGGUAGGGGCGUGCGGAACUUCCGGUGGAGCGGUGAAAUGCGUAGAUAUCGGAAGGAACACCGGUGGCGAAAGCGGCGCGCUGGACCUCUUCUGACGCUGAGGCGCGAAAGCCAGGGGAGGCAAACG
Molecule: ribosomal RNA, 208 nt
Filed under: uncultured bacterium
Lineage: Bacteria
Description: partial 16S ribosomal RNA
Rfam family: Bacterial small subunit ribosomal RNA
Source: RNAcentral